RNAcentral lists this ribosomal RNA (746 nucleotides) under Actinomycetales bacterium TLI273. RNAcentral describes it as "bacterial SSU rRNA". It matches the Rfam family "Bacterial small subunit ribosomal RNA", at positions 146 to 903 of the family's 1533-position model. Lineage: Bacteria; Bacillati; Actinomycetota; Actinomycetes; Actinomycetales. The record is from RNAcentral.
AGCCCUGGAAACGGGGUCUAAUACCGGAUACGACACACGACCGCAUGGUCUGUGUGUGGAAAGCUCCGGCGGUGAAGGAUGAGCCCGCGGCCUAUCAGCUUGUUGGUGGGGUGAUGGCCUACCAAGGCGACGACGGGUAGCCGGCCUGAGAGGGCGACCGGCCACACUGGGACUGAGACACGGCCCAGACUCCUACGGGAGGCAGCAGUGGGGAAUAUUGCACAAUGGGCGAAAGCCUGAUGCAGCGACGCCGCGUGAGGGAUGACGGCCUUCGGGUUGUAAACCUCUUUCAGCAGGGAAGAAGCGAAAGUGACGGUACCUGCAGAAGAAGCGCCGGCUAACUACGUGCCAGCAGCCGCGGUAAUACGUAGGGCGCAAGCGUUGUCCGGAAUUAUUGGGCGUAAAGAGCUCGUAGGCGGCUUGUCACGUCGGAUGUGAAAGCCCGGGGCUUAACCCCGGGUCUGCAUUCGAUACGGGCAGGCUAGAGUUCGGUAGGGGAGAUCGGAAUUCCUGGUGUAGCGGUGAAAUGCGCAGAUAUCAGGAGGAACACCGGUGGCGAAGGCGGAUCUCUGGGCCGAUACUGACGCUGAGGAGCGAAAGCGUGGGGAGCGAACAGGAUUAGAUACCCUGGUAGUCCACGCCGUAAACGUUGGGAACUAGGUGUGGGCGACAUUCCACGUCGUCCGUGCCGCAGCUAACGCAUUAAGUUCCCCGCCUGGGGAGUACGGCCGCAAGGCUAAAACUCA